GUACACUCCUGCGGGAGGCAGCAGUGGGGAAUAUUGGACAAUGGGCGCAAGCCUGAUCCAGCCAUGCCGCGUGAGUGAUGAAGGCCCUAGGGUUGUAAAGCUCUUUCACCGGUGAAGAUAAUGACGGUAACCGGAGAAGAAGCCCCGGCUAACUUCGUGCCAGCAGCCGCGGUAAUACGAAGGGGGCUAGCGUUGUUCGGAUUUACUGGGCGUAAAGCGCACGUAGGCGGACUAUUAAGUCAGGGGUGAAAUCCCGGGGCUCAACCCCGGAACUGCCUUUGAUACUGGUAGUCUUGAGUUCGAGAGAGGUGAGUGGAAUUCCGAGUGUAGAGGUGAAAUUCGUAGAUAUUCGGAGGAACACCAGUGGCGAAGGCGGCUCACUGGCUCGAUACUGACGCUGAGGUGCGAAAGCGUGGGGAGCAAACAGGAAUAGAAACCCCAGUAGUCCCAU
RNAcentral lists this ribosomal RNA (451 nucleotides) under uncultured organism. RNAcentral describes it as "partial 16S ribosomal RNA". It matches the Rfam family "Bacterial small subunit ribosomal RNA", at positions 331 to 798 of the family's 1533-position model. The record is from RNAcentral.